RNAcentral lists this small RNA (32 nucleotides) under Bombyx mori (domestic silkworm). Its description in RNAcentral is "ovarian small RNA-30525". Lineage: Eukaryota; Metazoa; Arthropoda; Insecta; Lepidoptera; Bombycidae. The record is from RNAcentral.
UGAAAUAACAUAGAUACUGAUGGUGUAAUAGA